CGUAUCGACCAACCUACCUAUACGAGGAAGGGAACGUACCGGACGAAGUCGGACUAAUACCGCAUAAAACAGGGACACCGCAUGGUGAUAUUUUGUUAAAGAAAUUCGCUGAUAGAUGGGCAUGCGUUCCAUUAGGUAGUUGGUGAGGUAACGGCUCACCAAGCCGACGAUGGAUAGGGGAACUGAGAGGUUGGUCCCCCACACUGGUACUGAGACACGGACCAGACUCCUACGGGAGGCAGCAGUGAGGAAUAUUGGUCAAUGGGCGAGAGCCUGAACCAGCCAAGUCGCGUGAAAGGAAGAAGGAUCUAUGGUUCGUAAACUUCUUUUGCAGGGGAAUAAAGUGCAGGACGUGUCCUGUUUUGUAUGUACCCUGAGAAUAAGGAUCGGCUAACUCCGUGCCAGCAGCCGC
RNAcentral lists this ribosomal RNA (412 nucleotides) under uncultured bacterium. RNAcentral describes it as "bacterial SSU rRNA". It matches the Rfam family "Bacterial small subunit ribosomal RNA", at positions 109 to 518 of the family's 1533-position model. The record is from RNAcentral.